RNAcentral lists this long non-coding RNA (226 nucleotides) under Panax ginseng (ginseng). RNAcentral describes it as "long non-coding RNA (PGIN_LNC002390)". The record is from RNAcentral. Lineage: Eukaryota; Viridiplantae; Streptophyta; Magnoliopsida; Apiales; Araliaceae.
CCAUAACCACUGAUCGUAGCAAGCUUUGAUACCACUUGUAAGGAUUUGGAUAAUCAAAUUCCUUACUAGGCUUAAGUUCAGCUCAAUUUAUGGAGAUUUGUGACUAAGAAGAGAUUUAGAGAGAGAGAGAAAGAGUUCAAAAGAAGUAGAGAGAAGUUCAGAAGAAAGAACAAUUCAUUUCAUUACCCAACUCAUUACAGAUAGCUUCUCUUAUACACAAUAAAAU